Molecule: ribosomal RNA, 510 nt
Filed under: uncultured bacterium
Lineage: Bacteria
Description: bacterial SSU rRNA
Rfam family: Bacterial small subunit ribosomal RNA
Source: RNAcentral
AAUCAACGCUGGCGGCGUGCCUCAGACAUGCAAGUCGAACGAUUAAGACUACCUUCGGGGAGUGCAUAAAGUGGCGCACGGGUGAGUAACACGUAAGUAAUCUACCCUCGAGUGGGGAAUAACAUCGGGAAACCGAUGCUAAUACCGCAUAAUGCAGCGGCACCGCAAGGUGACAGUUGUUAAAGGAGUAAUUCGCUUGAGGAGGAGCUUGCGGCAGAUUAGCUAGUUGGUAAGGUAACGGCUUACCAAGGCUACGAUCUGUAUCCGGCCUGAGAGGGCGGUCGGACACACUGACACUGAAUAACGGGUCAGACUCCUACGGGAGGCAGCAGUCGGGAAUUUUGGGCAAUGGGCGAAAGCCUGACCCAGCAACGCCGCGUGAGGGAUGAAGUAUUUCGGUAUGUAAACCUCGAAAGAAUAGGAAGAAUAAAUGACGGUACUAUUUAUAAGCUCCGGCUAACUACGUGCCAGCAGCCGCGGUAAUACGUAGGGAGCAAGCGUUGUUCGGUA